RNAcentral lists this ribosomal RNA (836 nucleotides) under uncultured beta proteobacterium. RNAcentral describes it as "bacterial SSU rRNA". It matches the Rfam family "Bacterial small subunit ribosomal RNA", at positions 8 to 840 of the family's 1533-position model. The record is from RNAcentral. Lineage: Bacteria; Pseudomonadati; Pseudomonadota; Betaproteobacteria.
AGAGUUUGAUCAUGGCUCAGAUUGAACGCUGGCGGCAUGCCUUACACAUGCAAGUCGAACGGCAGCACGGGAGCAAUCCUGGUGGCGAGUGGCGAACGGGUGAGUAAUAUAUCGGAACGUGCCCAGUCGUGGGGGAUAACGCAGCGAAAGCUGUGCUAAUACCGCAUACGAUCUAUGGAUGAAAGCGGGGGAUCGCAAGACCUCGCGCGAUUGGAGCGGCCGAUAUCAGAUUAGCUAGUUGGUGAGGUAAAGGCUCACCAAGGCGACGAUCUGUAGCUGGUCUGAGAGGACGACCAGCCACACUGGAACUGAGACACGGUCCAGACUCCUACGGGAGGCAGCAGUGGGGAAUUUUGGACAAUGGGCGCAAGCCUGAUCCAGCAAUGCCGCGUGCAGGAUGAAGGCCUUCGGGUUGUAAACUGCUUUUGUACGGAGCGAAACGGUUCUUUUUAAUAAAGAGAGCUAAUGACGGUACCGUAAGAAUAAGCACCGGCUAACUACGUGCCAGCAGCCGCGGUAAUACGUAGGGUGCGAGCGUUAAUCGGAAUUACUGGGCGUAAAGCGUGCGCAGGCGGUUUUGUAAGACAGAUGUGAAAUCCCCGGGCUCAACCUGGGACCUGCAUUUGUGACUGCAAGGCUAGAGUACGGUAGAGGGGGGUAGAAUUCCAGGUGUAGCGGUGAAAUGCGUAGAGAUCUGGAGGAAUACCGGUGGCGAAGGCGGCCCCCUGGACAAAGACUGACGCUCAGGUGCGAAAGCGUGGGGAGCAAACAGGAUUAGAUACCCUGGUAGUCCACGCCCUAAACGAUGUCAACUGGUUGUUGGGUCUUUACUGACU